Molecule: long non-coding RNA, 1110 nt
Organism: Carassius gibelio (silver crucian carp)
Lineage: Eukaryota; Metazoa; Chordata; Actinopteri; Cypriniformes; Cyprinidae
Exons: 3
Source: RefSeq, a predicted model, not a curated record
ACGAAGUCUUGGCAUAAUAAUCCCUUUCUUAAAGUUAAUUGAGUCUUGAGAUAAAUGUUUUAAGCUAAUUAAUCAAAGUACAUUUUCUAUGUAUUAGAGAAAAAAAAGAAAAAAACGUCAUCUACAAUAAGUGAUCAAAUGCAUAAGAAGAUAGAAAAAGAGCGAUUUUCCCCUUGAAAAAACUGUUCGCACUACAAUUCCCAUGCUCCUUUUUGUGAGGAGCUGACCAAUCACUGAACUCCAAAAUUUCAGGCAAUCGAGCUUCGCCUUGACUUCCUGUUAGCUACUUCCUGACUGAAAGACUGCAUGGCUGUUCGUUGCCUAUCUGAAUUCCAAUUUAAUUACCAUCCAUAGGAGAGCGCGAUCGGCAGACGGCUGCCGCUGAUCAGACAGCCAAUUUAGAGAGACCCACUCAUUGACUCAACGGUCAGGUUUUUUUGACAGAUUCAUUCCAGUGACGCACAUGGAUUGGAAGUCACGCUCGACCUGGAGUUGAAGCCUUCUGGUUGAAUUGGGAUUGGAUGUUCGUAUCCUGAAACCCCGAAAGAUUCCCAGCUUACGUUGGGUGGCGAGCCACGGACCCACGAGCAUAAGUCUAUGCGCAGUUUCACUUUCCCUUUUUCACGGAUUGUGUGGUAGGAUCCACGAGUAUGUUCACUUCCAAACUCUAUACCAGUAGACUGGAAGACCUGUUUUAUGACAGCUAAAAUUACUGACACAGUUCUUCAAAAGUGAGAUCAGUUUUGAUUUGUUUUGUUUUGUAUCUGUGGUUUGAACUCAUCUGAAAGCUUGUAAAUUGUUACAAAAAAAGGACAGUCCAAAAAUAGCUUUUGGGUUUGACAAACACAAACAAUGUUGGUGAUGGGCCGAACACAACUGAACAAACGAAGGCAUGAAACUCCAAACACACAUUUAUGACACAACAUAUGGUGAGUGUGAAUUAAAAGUUAAUAAAUCUGUUGACACAAAAAGACCUGUUGACAGUUUUCAUAUCAUUCAUAAUGAUUUUAAGAAAGUCAUAAACAAUAAAUGAUGUAUUUGUGUUAUGUUGUUACAUAACCUACAGCUUUAACUUUGUAACAGCACACACCUACUCAAACACAUCACAUC